CCGCUGCCAAAUGCUAUGUUUAAAAGAAUAUAAAUACAAAUUCAACAGAGAAAUGAUUCCUCAAACACCGCCAUGCGCACACAACGUAACACAUCCGGGUGUUUUCUUCUUCGUCUACUGACAAAAAGCAACAAACACUACAACUCACUA
Long non-coding RNA from Thalassophryne amazonica, 150 nucleotides. RefSeq lists it as uncharacterized. The transcript has 5 exons. Lineage: Eukaryota; Metazoa; Chordata; Actinopteri; Batrachoidiformes; Batrachoididae. The record is from RefSeq and is a predicted model, not a curated record.